GACGAACGCUGGCGGCGUGCCUAAUACAUGCAAGUCGAACGCUUCUUUCCUCCCGAGUGCUUGCACUCAAUUGGAAAGAGGAGUGGCGGACGGGUGAGUAACACGUGGGUAACCUACCCAUCAGAGGGGGAUAACACUUGGAAACAGGUGCUAAUACCGCAUAACAGUUUAUGCCGCAUGGCAUAAGAGUGAAAGGCGCUUUCGGGUGUCGUUGAUGGAUGGACCCGCGGUGCAUUAGCUAGUUGGUGAGGUAACGGCUCACCAAGGCCACGAUGCAUAGCCGGCCCGAGAGGGUGAUUCGCCCAACUGGGAAUGAGAAAAGGCCCAGACCCCCAAGGGAGGCAGGAGUAGGGAAUCUUUGGCAAUGGGCGAAAGGCUGACCCAGCAACGCCGCGGGGGUGAAGAAGGUUUUCGGAUUGGAAAACCCUUGUUGUUGGGAAGAACAAGGGCCUUAGGAAACUAACCGCCCCUGAUGGUAUCCAACCAAAAAGCCACGGCUAACUUCGUG
RNAcentral lists this ribosomal RNA (508 nucleotides) under uncultured bacterium. RNAcentral's name for it is "partial 16S ribosomal RNA". It matches the Rfam family "Bacterial small subunit ribosomal RNA", at positions 28 to 507 of the family's 1533-position model. The record is from RNAcentral.